This 461-nucleotide ribosomal RNA is filed under the name uncultured bacterium. RNAcentral describes it as "partial 16S ribosomal RNA". It matches the Rfam family "Bacterial small subunit ribosomal RNA", at positions 338 to 795 of the family's 1533-position model. The record is from RNAcentral.
CCUACGUGGCGCAGCAGUGAGGAAUAUUUGUCAAUGGGCUUACGCCUGAACCAGCCAAGUCGCGUGAGGGAAGACUGCCCUAUGGGUUGUAAACCUCUUUUGUCAGGGAGCAACGCCGGCUACGUGUAGCCGGACUGAGAGUACCUGAAGAAAAAGCAUCGGCUAACUCCGUGCCAGCAGCCGCGGUAAUACGGAGGAUGCGAGCGUUAUCCGGAUUUAUUGGGUUUAAAGGGUGCGUAGGCGGAAUGCCAAAUCUGGAGUGAAAUGCCGCAGCUUAACUGCGGAACUGCUUUGGAAACUGGCGAACUAGAGUGCGGGAGGGGUAAGCGGAAUUCCUAGUGUAGCGGUGAAAUGCGUAGAUAUUAGGAGGAACACCGGUGGCGAAGGCGGCUUACUGGACCGUAACUGACGUUGAGGCUCGAAAGCGUGGGGAGCAAACAGGAUUAGAUACCCGAGUAGUC